AUUGAACGCUGGCGGCAGGCUUAACACAUGCAAGUCGAGCGGGGUGAUGGUGCUUGCACUAUCACUUAGCGGCGGGCGGGUGAGUAAUGCUUAGGAAUCUGCCUAUUAGUGGGGGACAACAUCUCGAAAGGGAUGCUAAUACCGCAUACGUCCUACGGGAGAAAGCAGGGGAUCACUUGUGACCUUGCGCUAAUAGAUGAGCCUAAGUCGGAUUAGCUAGUUGGUGGGGUAAAGGCCUACCAAGGCGACGAUCUGUAGCGGGUCUGAGAGGAUGAUCCGCCACACUGGGACUGAGACACAGCCCAGAAUCCUGCGGGAGGCAGCAGUGGGGAAUAUUGGACAAUGGGGAGAACCCUGAUCCAGCCAUGCCGCGUGUGUGAAGGAGGCCUUUGCUUGUAAAGCACUUUAAGCGAGGAGGAGGCUCUUUUGGUUAAUACCCAAGAUGAGUGGACGUUACUCGCAGAAUAAGCACCGGCUAACUCUGUGCCAGCCGCCGCCGUAA
Molecule: ribosomal RNA, 502 nt
Filed under: uncultured bacterium
Lineage: Bacteria
Description: partial 16S ribosomal RNA
Rfam family: Bacterial small subunit ribosomal RNA
Source: RNAcentral